AUGCGAUGCCGCGGCACCGGAGGUAGUCAUGCUCAACGUCUCCAGCACGGCGAAGAUGAGCAGCAACCAGGGCAAGUCACUAUGGUUCUACUUCUACGGAUUCUUGUCCGCCUUCUUCGUCAUCGAGGUGUUUGUGAUAGCGUUUGGGUGCUGGCUCUUCUCCAAGAAAGGGAUACUGUCCAGGCCAUCGGAGCUUCUGGCCGUGAAGGGUACAGGAUGAUCACCAGCCAUUUCCGGGCAUACAGCUACUCAGAGCUGCAGAGUGCCACCAGGAAGUUCCGUGCCAAGAUCGGGCAUGGUGGUUCGGGCACCGUGUACAAGGGGGUCCUGGACGACGACAGGACGGUGGCCGUCAAGGUGCUGCAGGAUGUGAGCCAGAGCGAGGAGGUGUUCCAGGCCGAGCUGAGCGCGAUCGGCAGGAUCUACCACAUGAACUUGGUGAGGAUGUGGGGGUUCUGCUCGGAAGGCGCGCACCGGAUUCUGGUCUACGAGUACGUCCACAACGGAUCACUGGCAAAUGUGCUGUUCCAAAGCACCGGAAAUUCCGGCAGGUUGCUGGGAUGGAGGCAGAGGUUCAACAUCGCCGUCGGCGUGGCCAAGGGACUGGCAUAUCUUCACAAUGAGUGCCUAGAGUGGAUCAUCCACUGCGACAUGAAGCCGGAGAACAUACUGCUGGAUGAUGAAAUGGAGCCCAAGAUCACCGACUUCGGGCUGGCGAAGCUGCUCAACAGAGAUGGGUCCGACUCGGGCCUGUCGCGGAUCCGAGGAACAAGGGGGUACAUGGCGCCCGAGUGGGUCUCCAGCCUUCCCAUCACUGAGAAGGUCGACGUGUACAGCUACGGAGUGGUGCUCCUGGAACUGAUGAAAGGGAAGAGGGUUUCAGAUUGGGUGGUGGAUGGGAAAGAAGGGUUUGAAACUGAUGUGAGAACUGUGGUUAAGAUGAUUGUUGACAGAUCGAAGCACAGCAAUGGAGGAUGGGUUGCGGACCUGGUGGAUGAACGGUUGGAUGGCGAAUUUCAUCAUGCGCAAGCUAAAAUAUUUGCCCAAUUGGCUGUCUCAUGUUUAGAGGAAGAUAGAAACAAAAGGCCCGGUAUGAAGAAUGUAGUGCAGACGCUCAUCUCUGCAGAUGAUGAGUCCAGAGAUAAUGAAUAUCCAGAAAUUUGA
RNAcentral lists this ribosomal RNA (1164 nucleotides) under Triticum aestivum (bread wheat). Its description in RNAcentral is "partial small subunit ribosomal RNA". The record is from RNAcentral. Lineage: Eukaryota; Viridiplantae; Streptophyta; Magnoliopsida; Poales; Poaceae.